UACGAAGGGUGCAAACGUUGCUCGGAAUCAUUGGGCGUAAAGCGCACGUAGGCGGCUUCGCAAGUCGGAUGUGAAAUCCCAUGGCUCAACCAUGGACGUGCAUCCGAAACUGCGGAGCUUGAGUACUGAAGAGGAUCGCGGAAUUCCCGGUGUAGAGGUGAAAUUCGUAGAUAUCGGGAGGAACACCAGUGGCGAAGGCGACUACCUGGCCUGUUUCUUGACGCUGAGGCGCGAAAGCUAGGGGAGCAAACGGG
This 254-nucleotide ribosomal RNA is filed under the name uncultured bacterium. RNAcentral's name for it is "partial 16S ribosomal RNA". It matches the Rfam family "Bacterial small subunit ribosomal RNA", at positions 524 to 776 of the family's 1533-position model. The record is from RNAcentral.